GACGAACGCUGGCGGCGCGCUUAACACAUGCAAGUCGAACGGAAAGGCCUGCUUUCCCUUGUGGAUUGCGGGUACUCGAGUGGCGAACGGGUGAGUAACACGUGAGUGAUCUGCCCCCAACUUGGGUAUAAGCCUGGGAAACUGGGUCUAAUUCCCGAUAGGACUGCAGGGUGGUGCCUGUGGUGGAAAACGAUUUUCUAGUGGUUGGGGAUGAGCUCGCGGCCUAUCAGCUUGUUGGUGGGGUAAUGGCCUACCACGGCGGCGACGGGUAGCCGGCCUGAGAGGGUGGACGGCAACAUUGGGACUGAGAUACGGCCCAGACUCCUACGGGAGGCAGCAGUGGGGAAUAUUGCACAAUGGGCGGAAGCCUGAUGCAGCGACACCGCGUGGGGGAUGACGGCCUUCGGGUUGUAAACUCCUUUCGACCGCGAGGAAGCCACCUGGUUGGAAGGGUGGUGACGGUAGUGGUAGAAGAAGCACCGGCUAACUACGUG
This 494-nucleotide ribosomal RNA is filed under the name uncultured bacterium. Its description in RNAcentral is "partial 16S ribosomal RNA". It matches the Rfam family "Bacterial small subunit ribosomal RNA", at positions 28 to 507 of the family's 1533-position model. The record is from RNAcentral.